Molecule: long non-coding RNA, 343 nt
Filed under: Drosophila guanche
Lineage: Eukaryota; Metazoa; Arthropoda; Insecta; Diptera; Drosophilidae
Source: RNAcentral
CAACAAUUGCGUUUCGAUGGGCAGCUAAAAGCAGCCGCAUUCGAGAAUUAUAUAUAUUUAAAUAUUAAUAUUGAAUAGAUAAAUGUUUCAUUGCACUUGGCAGAGCGCAGCGGAGUUGCCGAGACUUCGAGAUCUAUAAGUCGAUGUAUAAACUAACACUAAAACUAAAACUAAAGUACUACACAUACAUACAUGCUACAUACAUUUAUCGUAUAUGUAUACCACUCUUUAUGACUUUUAACGACAAUGUACGAUAAUUUCACUAAUUAAAUUGUUUAACGAGCAACAGGCAAACUAAGCAUAAACAAAAACCAACAACCAAAAAAACAAACCAAAAGACAGA